GAAAACCUAGUCUGAUGAACUUUCUCCUAGGAUCACAAUCUUAGUCUGAUGAAUUUUUCUCCUAAGAUAGAGGACCUAGUCUGAUGAAUAUUCUCCUAGGAUCAAAAUCUUAGUCGGAUGAAUCUUUCUCCUAAGAUAAUAAAUUAGAAGACCUAGUCUGAUGACUUUUCUCCUAGGAUCAAAAUCUUAGUCUGAUCAAUUUUUCUCCUAAGAUAGAAGACCUAGUCUGAUGAACUUUCUCCUAGGAUAGAUGUCUUAGUCUGAUAAAUUUUUCUCCUAAGAUACAAAACCUAGUAUGAUGAAUUUUCUCCUAGGAUAAAUGUCUUAGUAUGAUGAAUCUUUCAAGAUAACAAAAAGAGGACCUAGUCUGAUGAACUUUCUCCUAGGAUCAAAAUCUUAGUCUGAUGAAUUUUUCUCCUAAGAUAGAAGACCUAGUCUGAUGAACUUUCUCCUAGGAUAGAAAUCUUAGUCGGAUGAAUCUUUCUCCUAAGAUACCAAAAAAAA
RNAcentral lists this long non-coding RNA (504 nucleotides) under Nicotiana tabacum (common tobacco). RNAcentral describes it as "long non-coding RNA (NTAB_LNC002101)". Lineage: Eukaryota; Viridiplantae; Streptophyta; Magnoliopsida; Solanales; Solanaceae. The record is from RNAcentral.